CCUACGGGCGGCUGCAGUGGGGAAUAUUGCACAAUGGGCGCAAGCCUGAUACAGCCAUGCCGCGUGUGUGAAGAAGGCCUUCGGGUUGUAAAGCACUUUCAGCGGGGAGGAAGGCGGUGAGGUUAAUAACCUCAUCGAUUGACGUUACCCGCAGAAGAAGCACCGGCUAACUCCGUGCCAGCAGCCGCGGUAAUACGGAGGGUGCAAGCGUUAAUCGGAAUUACUGGGCGUAAAGCGCACGCAGGCGGUCUGUCAAGUCGGAUGUGAAAUCCCCGGGCUCAACCUGGGAACGGCAUUCGAAACUGGCAGGCUAGAGUCUUGUAGAGGGGGGUAGAAUUCCAGGUGUAGCGGUGAAAUGCGUAGAGAUCUGGAGGAAUACCGGGGGCGAAGGCGGCCCCCUGGACAAAGACUGACGCUCAGGUGCGAAAGCGUGGGGAGCAAACAGGAUUAAUACCCCGGUAGUC
This 464-nucleotide ribosomal RNA is filed under the name uncultured Klebsiella sp. RNAcentral's name for it is "bacterial SSU rRNA". It matches the Rfam family "Bacterial small subunit ribosomal RNA", at positions 338 to 795 of the family's 1533-position model. The record is from RNAcentral. Lineage: Bacteria; Pseudomonadati; Pseudomonadota; Gammaproteobacteria; Enterobacterales; Enterobacteriaceae.